UGUGCCUAAUACAUGCAAGUCGAGCGCACUGGCCCAACUGAUAUGACGUGCUUGCACUGAUUUGACGAUGGAUCACCAGUGAGCGGCGGACGGGUGAGUAACACGUGGGCAACCUGCCCUGGAGCGGGGGAUAACAUUUGGAAACAGAUGCUAAUACCGCAUAAUAAUCAAAACCACAUGGUUUUGAUUUCAAAGAUGGUUUCGGCUAUCACUCCAGGAUGGGCCCGCGGUGCAUUAGCUAGUUGGUAAGGUAACGGCUUACCAAGGCGAUGAUGCAUAGCCGAGUUGAGAGACUGAUCGGCCACAAUGGAACUGAGACACGGUCCAUACUCCUACGGGAGGCAGCAGUAGGGAAUCUUCCACAAUGGGCGCAAGCCUGAUGGAGCAACACCGCGUGAGUGAAGAAGGGUUUCGGCUCGUAAAACUCUGUUGUUGAAGAAGAACGUGCGUGAGAGUAACUGUUCACGCAGUGACGGUAUUCAACCAGAAAGUCACGGCUAACUAC
This 505-nucleotide ribosomal RNA is filed under the name Limosilactobacillus pontis. RNAcentral's name for it is "bacterial SSU rRNA". It matches the Rfam family "Bacterial small subunit ribosomal RNA", at positions 43 to 504 of the family's 1533-position model. The record is from RNAcentral. Lineage: Bacteria; Bacillati; Bacillota; Bacilli; Lactobacillales; Lactobacillaceae.